RNAcentral lists this ribosomal RNA (380 nucleotides) under uncultured bacterium. RNAcentral describes it as "bacterial SSU rRNA". It matches the Rfam family "Bacterial small subunit ribosomal RNA", at positions 30 to 412 of the family's 1533-position model. The record is from RNAcentral.
AUUGAACGCUGGCGGCAUGCCUUACACAUGCAAGUCGAACGGCAGCGGACCUUCGGGUGCCGGCGAGUGGCGAACGGGUGAGUAAUAUAUCGGAACGUACCUUUCAGUGGGGGAUAACGUAGCGAAAGUUACGCUAAUACCGCAUAUUCUGUGAGCAGGAAAGCAGGGGAUCGCAAGACCUUGCGCUGAUUGAGCGGCCGAUAUCAGAUUAGCUAGUUGGUGAGGUAAAGGCUCACCAAGGCGACGAUCUGUAGCGGGUCUGAGAGGAUGAUCCGCCACACUGGAACUGAGACACGGUCCAGACUCCUACGGGAGGCAGCAGUGGGGAAUUUUGGACAAUGGGCGCAAGCCUGAUCCAGCCAUGCCGCGUGAGUGAAGAA